GUUAUUUUCUGCCCCGGCUGCUGGUGGGGCUAGCCUGGCGCCAGCCCCCGGGACCUGGAGAGCUAGGGGCGGGGGGCUGGACAUUUGCCCCUUAACCCUCCACCCCCCCCAAUGCCCUAACGAUGCCAGGAGGCCGCCGCUGAAAACUCACUCAUUUCACUGUCAUGGCGUCUCCCGUUGAUAACCUUAUAUUUUCUCCACUGAUGAAUGAGACUUCUUAAAUAUUCCAGCUGACCACAGCGUGUCGGGAUGACUUGGAUGUUAAACUCGCAGACAUGUCAAUGGUAGUCAAUUGAUCCAUCACGUUGCGGAGGGCCACUGGGCUUAGAGAAGGCCAAAGCGGCUUGAUCCUCCUCAAAUCCAAAGCAAACAGGCACAACAUGGCCGCCCUGAUGCGCCGCAGCCUCGGGGCCUGAAAACAGGAGUUCCCCUGAGCAGCUAUCAAAAGCUUUGCUUCCCGCCAAGUGCAAAGGCCUCACGAUCCCCUGGAGUCUCAGAGGGCGAGGAAGACACGACCGGAGUCAACAACCUUCGUCUGUCCUUUUCAAGACCUUUACCCGCUCAGAGCAAAGCGUCUCAAUGAAUCCAGAACUUUCACUGUAAAUAUACAUAUUGAAGCCAUUACUCGAGGAGUUUGGAUGAGUCAAACGAUGAAGAAUGGCAUUACUCGAGCAGCAAAAAAGACAAGUCUUUCUUUUGAAGACGAUACUCCGUCUCCGGUUGUCGGUUGUGUUUUGCUUCCCUGAAAACAUGCACUUCAGAGAAGGAAGCGAGUGACUGGCCGCGUUCAAAAGGGAGAAUGGUGCCAAACGCUGGGCAAGAUCAACUACUCAGGACUGUUUCCUUUGCCAAGGACGCGCUGCCCUCUGCACAGCCCUUAAUGGCGACGGAUCCCCCUUCAAGGCUGUGAGCCCACGCGGCGCUCCAGUCUGCCUUCAU
This is a long non-coding RNA of Gasterosteus aculeatus aculeatus (three-spined stickleback), 939 nucleotides long. The record is from Ensembl. NCBI's taxonomy places the organism in Eukaryota, Metazoa, Chordata, Actinopteri, Perciformes, Gasterosteidae.